UCACAGUGUUGUUGAUAAGAGAGUAAACUUGUAUGGCUUACCCCCUGUCCCCCGCCCCUCAUAUUGUGACCAGUUAUAUAUAUAUCAUAGAUAAGUAAUAUAUUUAUUUUAUAUCCGUGGUAAAGACCUUCAGUAUUAUUUUGCUGUUAGAUGUUUAUCGCCCUUUUUUUGUUGACUUGUUUCUAUUAAAAUUUACAAUUUUAUUUGUACUAAAUACUUUAUUAUUAUCACUAGUGAUUGAUCAUCAGUUUGAUUUGUAAUUCUUGUUUAAGGGUGUAUAGUAUACACUAUAAAAGAAAAAUAUUGACAAAUUAUAAAAAAGUAAAUAUAUACAUUAUAUAUAUAUAAAAUGAGCUAUCCAGGAUAUCCACCAAACAAUCAGGUAAGUUAUUUCACUAGAUUAUAAAAUAAAGAAAACAAAAUUUAAAAUAACUGUAAUUGUAAUAAUUAAUAUUAGUACCUAAUUAAAUUAUUUUUCUAUCUGAUAUUUUUGUUAGGGAUACCCAGGCCAAUCCGGAAUACCUGGACAAACAGGAAUGCCAGGAAUGCCUGGACAAACUGGAAUGCCUGGAAUGCCUGGACAGACUGGAAUGCCUGGCUCCCAACCUUCUUAUUCACAAUAUCCAGCUGGUAAUAUUGGACAACAAGGUUAUCCAAUGCCAAAUACUUAUCCAACAGGUCAACCUAGUUAUCCUCAACAAAGUCCCUACCCACAAGUAGGUCAAUAUCCACCACAACAACCUAGUCAAUAUCCACCACAACAACCUAGUCAAUAUCCACCACAACAACCUGGUCAAUAUCCACCACAACAACCUGGUCAAUAUCCAUCACAACAACCUGGUCAAUAUCCAUCACAACAACCUGGUCAAUAUCCACCAAAUUCUGGUUCAUAUGUUCCAAAUCCAUCCAUGUAUCCGACAUCGUCUAUGCCAGGACAGUAUCCUCCGUCCCCAUAUCAAUCACAAGCUACUUCAUAUCCAAAUGUCCAACCACAGUCCAACUAUCCAUCAAAAUCUGUGAAUCCUUACACUCAACAAGCCGGUGGAUAUGGAGGUGGCUCUCAAAUUCCAUCACAAGCAUCAUAUCCACCUGUUAGCUCUCCUGCUCAUUAUCAACCAGUGAAUAGCGCUCCUGCACAGAAGAAGGUGAGAUGUUAUUAUUUUUUUGAAAACAAAUAUUAAUAUAUAAUAUAUGUAUAAUUAUUAUUAUUCCUAUUUUUAUAUUUUAAUAGAAGUAUAUAAGUUUUUCAAGUUUAUAGUUAUUUCCUAAAUUGUGAAACCCCUUUUAUAAUUUAAGUAGUAUUAACUUGUAUUAACUAUCUUUACAAAAUACUUAAAAAAUAAUUUAAUUUUUAUGAAUAAUGAAAUAAAAAAUAUUAAGUAAACUUAAGCAAUACCUAUUUUAUUUACAAAAAAAAAAAAAAAAACAUUUAGCUCUAAUAAAUUUAAUGCAAUAAGAUUAAUUAACCUAAUUAACCAUUAUUUUAAUUAACAUUAAAAGUCUAUUGUGUAAAUUCUGAUAAUAGGAUGAUUAAUUUAAUAAUUUUGCUAUUUAUAUUUUGUACGCCCUUUUUUAAGUUAACAGUAAUAUUGAGAAUAUUAAAAUGAAAAAUAUAUGUGUUAUAUACAGGUGUUCCACAAAUAUAUACUCAUUGUAAUAUCUCCAAAGAUAAUAAAAUUACGUUUUUCUUUUACUCACAAGGAUGUGGACUACAAAUAUUUAUAUUUUAAUUAAUUUAGUAUGUUUAGAAAAAAAACUUUUUAUUUUAUUAUUUUUAAAUAAUUUGAAGAUAGCCAUUAUAUAGAGUAAAUUUUUUUGAAAUUUUUACUUAUCAACAUUUUAUUUUUAUUAAAUUCAUGAUUUUUAAUAAAUUAUUUAAAGUUCAUAGUAAUCAUAAUCAAUUAGGGUAUGUGAAUACAGCUUGCUGCAUAAUUAUAAGUACUUUUUUCUGAACUUUAAAAAAUUAUUAAAAAUCACAAAUUUAAUAAAAAUUAGAAGUUAAAACAAAAUUUUCAGAAAAAUCAAUAAACUUAAAAAUUAACAUCAUAUUUUUGAAAAUAAUAAAUCGAAGAGAAUUUUUUAAUUUUUUUACCAAAACAUAAGAAUUAUCCUUAAAAAAAAAAAAUUUGAUUAUGACCUUAGGACACUCUGUAUAAUACACUUUUUUCAUAGAAAUAAAACUUAUUUGCUUAUUAAAGGGUUAAUUAUAAUAAUGAAAAAAAAAAUAGUAAACAAUAGCUGUUUUUAAUUUAUAAGUUUAUGAUAAAAAUAAAUAAUUAUUCUUAUUUAGUCUAAUCCAACACUACGCCCAGCAAAUCCAUUUGAUGCACAACGUGAUGCAGAAAUAUUGCGUAAAGCUAUGAAAGGAAUUGGAACAGAUGAAAAAGCAAUCAUACAGGUCUUGGCUCACAGAGUCAAUUCUCAACGACAGCAAAUUGCUAUUCAAUUUAAGACUAUGUAUGGCAAAGUAAGUGGUUGGAAUAAUAAUCAUCGUAUUUGUUGUUGGAUAUAAUUUUUUACUAAAAUAAUUAUAUUAUAUUUUUUUGAAUAAAAUGUUUGAUUAUAUCAACCAGGAUUUAAUAGACAAUCUGAAAAGUGAAUUGGGUGGAAAGUUAGAAGACUUAAUUGUAGCACUCAUGACACCAACUUAUGAUUUUCUUGCUAGUGAAUUACAUUAUGCUGUUGAUGGUAUUGGCACUUGCGAAGAAACAAUAAUUGAAAUUAUAUGCUCGGCGUCUAAUGCUGAGAUCAAUAAUAUAAAAAUGGCAUACCACAAAUGUCAGUUAAUUUAAUUUUAAACAAAUGUUAAUUUAUUUAUUUUAUAAACUGAUAUAAAUAUUAUCAUUUUCUAUAGUAUUUGGUAAUGAUUUAGAGAAAGAUCUAAAAGGAGAAACAUCUGGGACUUUCCGCAGACUAUUAGUUUCUCUUUGUCAGGUUUGUUAUUUUUUAAAUAAUAACAUAUAUUUUUUUUCAAAUGAUAAUAAUUAUUUAUAUAGGGACGCCGCAGUGAAAACACACAUAUUGAUGUUGCAUCUGCUCAAACUGAUGCACAAAACUUGUUACAAGCAGGUAAAUAGUUGAAAAAUGUAUAUAAUUAUAAAUUAUUAAUUAUACAUGAAAAUAUUUAAUUAACUAUUGUAAUUUUAUAGGUCAACUUCAGUUUGGUACUGAUGAAUCUACAUUCAACAUGAUUUUGUGCAGUCGUAGUUACUCUCAAUUAGAACAGGUAUUUUUGGAAUAUCACCGUUUAACUGGUCGAGAUUUCGAAGACACUAUCAAGAGUGAAUUUAGUGGAGACAUUGAAAAGGGACUACGAGCAAUUGGUAUGAACUUUUAUAAGUAUUAUUUAGAUUUUCUCUCUUAAAUAUUUUAUACUAUAAUAGCAAAUGUAUUGUAUAUUUUUUUAGUUAAAUCUGUAAGAAACAAAAGUGCAUAUUAUGCUAAACGCUUACAUGAAUGUAUGGAUGGUUUUGGUACACACGACAGAGCUUUGAUUCGUAUUGUUGCUACUCGUUGCGAAAUAGAUAUGGUUGACAUAAAAAAUGCUUACAUGUCAAUGUAUGGAAAGUCUUUGGAAGCUGAUAUUGCGGUAAGGAUUUUAUUUCAUUAAUUUUUGUACUUUUGUACUAAAUUCUAUUAUUUAAAUUAUUAUUUUCCAAAAUUAACAUUAGUAUGCAUAGUCAAAAAAAAAAAAUCUAUUUAUCAUUUAACACAAAAAUACAUACAUGAAUGUAGUCACAUUAUUUUAUAAAAAUUAUUUUGCUAAAUUCAAACUGUUUAUAGUUUAUAUAAAAGUAUACCCGCUAAACUAAUUUACAAUUAAAUUGAUGUUAUCUUUUUUUAAUCAAUAUUAAGAAUUAAAUAAUUAAUUUCUACAAUGGUUUACAAAAAAUAUUAAAAUUGCAUUAUCUUUUGUUUAUGUCAAUCAACAGUCUGAUACAUUUAUGGUGAGUUGUGCAAUUAUAGUAGAUGAAAAAUAGUUUACCAAGUCUAUCUUGGUUGAUUACCAAACUAUUUUAUACAAUUUAUAAGCAAUUUUGCAUGAAAUUAUUACUGUAGCCUAAAAAUGAUUAGUUAAUAUUAUUGAAGAUUUAUUAUCUAUUUUUAACCAUUUAAAAAAAAAAAAUUGAUUAUUAUUUUAUUGAAAUAUGUAUUUAUUGUAUUUGUUAAUGUUAUUUUGCUAUACUAUUUAUGUUUUAGAGUGAUACAUCGGGUGAUUACAAAAAAUGUCUUACAGCUUUGGUUGUCGGCUAAAAGUCUAAUUUAUAAUAUUUAUAUUCAUUUACUACAAUUUUAAAGCUUUUGCAUUUUUUUUUUAAAUUCUAAAAUCUAUAAUAAAUAUUUUUAUAGUUUUAAAUUUAAAAAUAUUAUUUGCUGGUAAUUAAUAUUUAUAUUACAAUUUUUAAAAAUUAUUUUAAUUAUUACAUCUAUUCUUACAUAGUUUAUACAAUUUUACAUAAUUACUAAUUUUUGCAUAGUAAAGAAACAAUUGGUUAUUCAAAUUUAUAUUGUGUUUACACUAACUUACAUCUGUAUGUUGUUAUAAGCAAAAUUGCUGAGAACCUGAUAAAAAAAUUUGAAUAUUUUAUUAUCAACUGCAAUUAUAUAUUAUAUUUUUAAAUUUCAUAUUUAACAUUUUUACAUUACUAGAUCUAAACAUUCGAAUAUACACUAAAGGCAUUUUUAUGCAUUUGCUUGUUUAAAUAGGAGGGUAUUAUAUUAUAUAUAUUAUACUUAUUAGUAUUUAAGCGUGUUUAUUAUAUAGAAUCCAAUUGAAUUUGUUUUUGCCAAACAUAAAUUUUGUGUCAAAUAAUUAUUACAUAAUCUUUAAACCGUGUAAGUUAAUUUUACAUUUUCUAUUGUAUAUUUUAAAUGUUGAACAAAUUUUAUUCUUAUAGUUCUUUUGUUAUAAACAUGUUUAUAAUAACAGCCUGUUAAUAUGUUUAAAAUAUUUUAUAGAUAGAUAAUUCACUGAAAGAUUUUAAUAGAGCACUUACACAGGCAAUUUAAAAAAAUCAAUUCAAAAUAUAUAGAAUAUUUAUAAAUCUAAUUUUGAUUUCCUUAGAGAAAUGUUAUUUAACUUGUUUAACUAUAUUCAGAUUUAAAUCUAAAGGAAUACUAAAUUGAACUCAUGUUGUUUAAUGAAUAUGCAAACUAUGUGCCUAUUUUCUAUUUUUGAUGUAUUAUUUGAAAUAAAAUUAAAAGACUUCAACAAAUUUAUAUUGUAUACAUAUUAAAUAUAUUCUUCUAAAGAUAUUAGUUUUUUAUAAAUUAUAAACACAAUAGUUCUCAAUCAGGGUAAAAGUAUGUACCACUUAUUAAUACAAUGCAAACUAUAAUAAAUAAAUUGUUUUGAUCUUGUUGACCAUUGAAACUUAAAAGUCUUGAAAUUGGUGCUUAAUCAUUUAAUAUUAUAUUCAGAAUAUUAACAUGUUUGAUAUAAAAAAUGUUUUUACAGAGGAUAUUAUUUUAUAUUUAUAACUUAAAUGUAUUGUAUUAUAAUUAAAGAUUUAUAUGAUGACUGUUCAGAUUUCUUAUAAUUAUAUAAGCAUAAUUUCUAUGCAGACAUUUAACUCUGGUUCUCGGUAAUCUAAAAUUUGGUAUUAUAUAAUUGUAAACGUUAAGUUAACUUUUAAUCUCAUUUAACUCCAAAAACUAUAUUCUAUGUUGCAUGAAAUUUGUUAAUAAUAUUUUAGCUUGUUUUUUUUAAUACUAUAUUGUAUACAUAAUAUGUAAUGGCUUAGGACAGUGGCAUUGCUAAUCUAAUAGUAUAGAAGAUUACUUAUUAUGUUAAAGCUUUUGAUCAAAAAUAACAUUUUUAUUUAAUUAUAUUAUCCAUUACCUAAAAAAAAAUUGAUCAAUUUUAAUAAUAUUCUUUGUUAUGCCACUGGCUUAUUAUAUUUCAUUGUUAUAGUAUUUAUUAAUUAUUCUUGUUAUUAUAUUAUAAACAUUUUUUUUUUUUGUUAUAUUUAUUUAUUCAUUUUUUAUUUUAUUUUUUGCAAUGGUUUUUAUGUUUUUAUGUUAUUUAUCAUAAUUAUAAUAAAAUUAAAUUCUUCAAUGAGUGUUGAAAUUUUAUGAGUUUUUAUUUCUGUUAUAGUCCUGUAAGAAUAUAAACAAGUCAAU
Molecule: non-coding RNA, 6123 nt
Organism: Cinara cedri
Lineage: Eukaryota; Metazoa; Arthropoda; Insecta; Hemiptera; Aphididae
Source: the annotation of a GenBank genome assembly